Dermochelys coriacea (leatherback sea turtle) is the source of this 3300-nucleotide long non-coding RNA. RefSeq lists it as uncharacterized. NCBI's taxonomy places the organism in Eukaryota, Metazoa, Chordata, Testudines, Dermochelyidae. The record is from RefSeq and is a predicted model, not a curated record. The transcript is spliced from 5 exons.
UGCUUUUGCUGGGAACAGAUCAGGAAUGCCCUUCAGAACUCCUGUAAAAAGUUCUUCAGAAUAAAGAGAAGUCUCUUCAGGAUCAGCUCUCAGCUGCUGAGGAGAAGGCUCGAACUCUCCCAAGGAUACCCAGUAACAUCCUGAACAUCAACCCAAAGAGCCUGAUGUUUGAAAUUGUCAAAGCUGAGUUGGAAGACAAAAUGCGAGGAAAAGAAAAGAACCAAAGGAAGCACAUUUUUGGUGGCUGAGCCCCAAGUGGAUUCUGGUUCUUUUGUGGCAGCUCACUGGUGUGCUGCUGGCCAUCCUUCUGGCUGCCACCCUAGUCACUCUCUUUGUCCUCUAUACCUGCUUCUCAGAUCACACAGUGACAGAGGCCUAUCACCAACCACCGUGGCAGUUUCUGGACUAUUACCUCUGGCCUUAUAUGAAGCUGCACAGUUCUAGCAUGUUACCCAAGUAAUCCCCGGGCUUUGCAGAAGCUAUUGACUAGUGCAAGUGUAUUCACAGCAAAGCCUUGUCACUCUACAAUCUCCAGGCAUUUGAAAUGACUAUCUCCCUCAGAUGCUUUGUGAUCUGCAAUGCCCAGAGCUCUAAUUUUACACUGUCCAUUCCGCAGUAGUGAAGUGCACAAGAAAUUCAAAUGUCAAACUCCUGGGGCUCUGGGGGUCACCUAUACAUUCAGACGUUUAGUGAAUUGCUGGAGUAGGAAGAACCUGUCAUAUUAGGCCAACACUGUGCUAGAUAAAAGCUAUAAUGGAAUGUUUAAUAAGAGAUAUCAUCUGUUCCUAUACAUGCCCCCAUAUUAUUCUACAAAUGUAUGCUGUAAGCUCGGCAGACAGUACUGAUGUUCAUUGAGAAAAGACAGACAUUAGCCAUGUUCCUCUCUGGUGUAACUCCACUGAUUUCAGGGGCUGCGUUCAGACCAUCAUAUUUUUUUUCCAAAUGAACUGGAAAUUGUGGGCCCAAUCCUCAGGUCUGGCCAAGCUAGGACCAAACCAGUUUUUUAAGCAGAUUCCCAUGUUGCCAUUUUUACUGUGCUCUGGGGUGCUCUGAGGUGUUUCUGGGCUCGUAUAUACUCACUUGCAGUGUAAAUGUAGUCAGUAUAAAUUAAACCCUCUUGGCAUAAUCCACAUGCCAUUAUUUAUCCAUUAAGAGCAGAAUAUCUAGAUAACAUAUCAUGGCAAGUGUUUGCACUGCUCUGUUCUGGCAGCAUGAACAAUGCUACAUCCUCCAUGAGCCAUUUGAAACAGGAACCACCUAUUUCAGAAAGCAAACACAACAGGAGCUAGGCCACAAUAUUAGGUUUCCAGGGGCAUUGCAACCUAGGGUGCAACAUAGCUAUGGAGGAGUGGGGCUAGCGGAAUGUAUUUGUAUUUCAAUGGUAGUAACUUUCUGGCUUUACUUGGUUGCUACUGUAUAUCCGAAUCCCUGUGUGCAAUGUGUAACCUCUUCCAAUGGUCAGAAAGGAAUGAAGAAAAGACGGGGUGAGCCCCAGGAAAGGAUGCUGUGCACAGCUUCACUGUAGAGCUACCUGUGAGAUUCACCCAGCACAAAUAUUUGCACCAGAAAUUGCUUCUGUAAUGCCUGAACUAGAGAGCAGACAACACCAGCUGCCCGGCAUGGCCUCAUUGCAGCAGCCAGUUGACACUCAGCAGCCAGAGACAAAACAGCAGCACACUCCCACCUCACAUUGUGGCCAAACUCAGAGAGGAUGGAGAAAGGGAAUGAAGAGGGCACAGUUUCAAUGAACAGGGCAGGAGCUGAUCAGCUCCCAGUCAGCAUUUAAAUACCCUGGGUUAGCUUCCUCAGUAGCUAUAGAAGUGAUUCUUACAGAGGUGCACAUGGGCACAGGGUACCCAGAACCCUGAUGGGAGUUACAAGGUGAGUCUCACUCACAGGAGCCACGCUAUAUCUGAGGGGUUAUGUGUCACUAGGCCAGGCUGGCAGACUACAGGCUUUUGUCAGAGAACAUGCAGGAACUUGUUAGCCAUUGGAAGUUGAUAUGGCCUGUCUGAGUGCCCUUGUAAGGGCGGUUAGUCAUUACAAUAUCCUCUGACAGGAGAGUCAGGAGAAAACUUCCUGGCUUAGUCCAAGCCCCACAUCCUGGGUGCUGUAGUUCACACCCCUCCAAUGGCAGUCUCCUCUGGGGUAUAAGGUGUCCUAUGGCAACAUGAGGAAGUUCUGUUCUAUCAUCACCAGACACCUCCACACAGCUGUAGUGGUCCAGGACCCAGGAGCAUGUCAUGUGUCUCGUCUUUUGAAGAGGUCUAGCUUCGUAAGGGACCUUUGCGACCAGGCAUUUGUGUAGUGGCUGAAUACCAGUUAGGGAUAGUAUCAUUGUCUGGGCCUUUGCCCAGAGGCAUAUGUAGGAGACAGUGCUACUCCUGGUUCAAAUCCUUCCUUGAAUGCAAUUCAUAGCAUUGCACACCAUACCUCACAAAUGUACCUCUCCUCCCCAGAGAAAGUAGCAGCUCUUUUUCCAGUACAUUGUAUAAAUCACAAGUGACAAUGCAUCUCUGAGUCCCAUUUCAGGUCCAAGGAGGAAAGGUUAGAUGUGCUGAAGAAAUUACAUCCACUCCUAAUUUCCAUGUGCCCACAGAUAAACUGUGCUGCCCCAAAUAGGUGAACCUAAGCUAUAAUUUUAUGCCCACUUCAAUCAGCAGCGCAAAGCAUCUGUCCUAGUCGCUGGUGCAAUUUUCCACUGGGCACAUAUGUUCCUCCAUUUUCUUAGCAGUGCAACUGUGCACCUUCAAAGUAGCGGUGCCUGCAUUUUUUCAUUGGAAAGUACUCAUAGUUGCACUGCAAAUGCACAUGUUUUUAUGCGGCAUCCUUCCUGGUGCUCAUAAUCCUACACAUUUGCAAAUGUAGCUCUUUAUGUUUCCUCCUCUUAUCUCAAUGCAAACAGAGUGCAAAUACCAGCACGGCCCGAAAGCAAGGUGUAAAAUACUGCUCUCAAAAUUCCACCUGGCAUGAAGCUACUACAUAGGCAGUCUGUAUUCUUAGGCACUAGGUCAUGGACUUCUCCGACCUUCCUGAUAAUUCUAGUGCCUGCUUUCAAAAGUAUCCUAAUUCAAAAUAAUUCAGCAUUCAUUUCCAGCAGACUGCAAGCUCUGUCUGGCUUUUUCUGAUCAAAGAAGGUGAGUUUUGAUUUAUUUACAAAUAUGUCAAAAGUAAAAUCAGAAAAUGAAUGGAAAUUGUAUCAUAAGAUUUGACAUAAGUCACAUGAUUUGUUUUAGUUUCAUAGAUAUAUGACUAUGCUAUAUAUUAAAUAUUAUAUAAUCUAGAGGUUUUCCAUCAGAC